ACACAUGCAAGUCGAGGGGAAACGACAUCGAAAGCUUGCUUUUGAUGGGCGUCGACCGGCGCACGGGUGAGCAACGCGUAUCCAACCUGCCCACCACUUGGGGAUAACCUUGCGAAAGUAAGACUAAUACCCAAUGACGUCUCUAGAAGACAUCUGAAAGAGAUUAAAGAUUUAUCGGUGAUGGAUGGGGAUGCGUCUGAUUAGCUUGUUGGCGGGGUAACGGCCCACCAAGGCGACGAUCAGUAGGGGUUCUGAGAGGAAGGUCCCCCUCAUUGGAACUGAGACUCGGUCCAAACUCCUACGGGAGGCAGCAGUGAGGAAUAUUGGUCUAUGGGCGASAGCCUGAACCAUCCAAUCAGCGUGCAGGAUGACGGCCCUAUUGGUUGUAAACUGCUUUUAUAAGGGAAUAAAGUGAGUCUCGUGAGACUUUUUGCAUGUACCUUAUGAUUAAUGACCGGCUAAUUCCGUGCUAGCAGCCGCGGUAAUACGGAAGGUCCGGGCGUUAUCCGGAUUUAUUGGGUUUAAAGGGAGCGUAGGCCGGAGAUUACGUUCGUUUUGAAAUGUAGACGCUCAACGUCGCACUGCAGCGCGAACUGGUUUCCAAGAGUACGCACAAAGUGGGCGGAAUUCGUGGUGUAGCGGUGAAAUGCUUAGAUAUCACGAAGAACUCCGAUUGCGAAGGCAGCUCACUGGAGCGCAACUGACUCCGAAGCUGGAAAGCGGGGGUAUUGAACAGGAUUAGAUACCCUGGUAGUCCACACCGUUAAAGAUCGAUGCCCGGAGUUGGUUUGAAUAGGUCAGCGGCCAAG
Molecule: ribosomal RNA, 809 nt
Filed under: uncultured bacterium
Lineage: Bacteria
Description: bacterial SSU rRNA
Rfam family: Bacterial small subunit ribosomal RNA
Source: RNAcentral